Long non-coding RNA from Dermacentor andersoni, 300 nucleotides. RefSeq lists it as uncharacterized. The record is from RefSeq and is a predicted model, not a curated record. Lineage: Eukaryota; Metazoa; Arthropoda; Arachnida; Ixodida; Ixodidae.
CAGAGGACGCCGAAGUCGGAACUACGCGCGGAGGAACACCAGCCUUCGGAGCGCGCGCGCGCGCGUUGAAAGCUGCGAUCGAGCAGCCAUUUGCCAGCGACGGCACAUUCUUCUACCGUGGUUGAUGUUUCUCACUGCUUUGAACCCCCAAGACUCCACGGACUGCGGCUGCGGUCGUUUCAUUGCCAACUGUGAGGAUGAAGCAGCUUCAUGGCCGGAGAUCGGGCGCCUCCCAUCAGUUUCCCUUUUCAGCAAUAGAGGCCUUGGAGGCCUUUCUACCUGCGUUGCAUCCUGUGGCUA